GAUGGCCUCUGGCUAUCACUUACAGAUGGGCCCGCGGCGCAUUAGCUAGUUGGUAAGGUAACGGCUUACCAAGGCGACGAUGCGUAGCCGACCUGAGAGGGUGAUCGGCCACACUGGGACUGAGACACGGCCCAGACUCCUACGGGAGGCAGCAGUAGGGAAUCUUCCGCAAUGGACGAAAGUCUGACGGAGCAACGCCGCGUGAGUGAUGAAGGUUUUCGGAUCGUAAAGCUCUGUUGUUAGGGAAGAACAAGUGCCGUUUGAAUAAGGCGGCACCUUGACGGUACCUAACCAGAAAGCCACGGCUAACUACGUGCCAGCAGCCGCGGUAAUACGUAGGUGGCAAGCGUUGUCCGGAAUUAUUGGGCGUAAAGCGCGCGCAGGCGGUCUCUUAAGUCUGAUGUGAAAGCCCACGGCUCAACCGUGGAGGGUCAUUGGAAACUGGGAGACUUGAGUACAGAAGAGGAGAGUGGAAUUCCACGUGUAGCGGUGAAAUGCGUAGAUAUGUGGAGGAACACCAGUGGCGAAGGCGACUCUCUGGUCUGUAACUGACGCUGAGGCGCGAAAGCGUGGGGAGCAAACAGGAUUAGAUACCCUGGUAGUCCACGCCGUAAACGAUGAGUGCUAGGUGUUAGGGGUUUCGAUGCCCUUAGUGCCGAAGUUAACACAUUAAGCACUCCGCCUGGGGAGUACGACCGCAAGGUUGAAACUCAAAGGAAUUGACGGGGGCCCGCACAAGCAGUGGAGCAUGUGGUUUAAUUCGAAGCAACGCGAAGAAUCUUACCAGGUCUUGACAUCCUUUGACCACUCUAGAGAUAGAGCUUUCCCCUUCCGGG
This 836-nucleotide ribosomal RNA is filed under the name Bacillus sp. RAS72. RNAcentral describes it as "bacterial SSU rRNA". It matches the Rfam family "Bacterial small subunit ribosomal RNA", at positions 202 to 1025 of the family's 1533-position model. Lineage: Bacteria; Bacillati; Bacillota; Bacilli; Caryophanales; Bacillaceae. The record is from RNAcentral.